This 218-nucleotide non-coding RNA is filed under the name unclassified sequences. Its description in RNAcentral is "FuFi-1 RNA". It matches the Rfam family "FuFi-1 RNA". The record is from Rfam by way of RNAcentral.
UUCGUCAGCUAAUGGGCUAAUCUUUUAUUUGCAGAACUAAGACUGCGUAAGUGACGAAAUAUUUUAUAGAAGCAUUUGGCACUACAGAUGUGAUUGAACAUGUAUGCACCGGAUCGGGGCUUCGGCAACGGUUGGGGGCUUAAGUGAACAAUCUGCAAAAUAUAUUUUUUUAACAAAAUUAGGCAAAAACUGAUAGAAUAGUGCUUCUGUCAGUUUUU